This 277-nucleotide ribosomal RNA is filed under the name uncultured bacterium. RNAcentral's name for it is "partial 16S ribosomal RNA". It matches the Rfam family "Bacterial small subunit ribosomal RNA", at positions 32 to 289 of the family's 1533-position model. The record is from RNAcentral.
AAUCAACGCUGGCGGCGUGCCUAACACAUGCAAGUCGAACGCGAAAGCCCCUUCGGGGGUAAGUAGAGUGGCGUCCGGGUGAGUAACACGUGGGUAAUCUACCUCCGGGUGGGGAAUAACCAGUCGAAAGAUUGGCUAAUACCGCAUAAUGCAGCGGCACCUAAUGGUGAUUAGUUGUUAAAGCGGGGGACCUUCGGGCCUCGCGCCUGGAGAGGAGCCUGCGGCAGAUUAGCUAGUUGGUGAGGUAACGGCUCACCAAGGCAUCGAUCUGUAGCUG